CACAAGCACCACCUGGGAACCCUUAUCCUGACCUUUAACUCAGCCUCAUGUGGAUCCUGUAUGAUUGGGCUCCCACAGUGAACCGACUCUGGGCACGCUGGUUUUCUCAGCUCCUAUCAGAGGCCCACUGAUGUCUGCCUGCAGACGGGCCUCAUCCACCUGCAUCCCUUGGUCACCCGUGAUCCUGGACCAGAGGAGCUGGAAGUUUCAGGGUGGCUCCUUCCCAUCCCUGGAGGAAGAAGUCAGAUGUCCUGGGAAAUCAUCAGUGAAAAUGCUUUGGACAGGAGAGGAAGGACCUUCAGAAGCCAGUAGCCUAUCCAGGAGCCGAAAGAACAGAAGCACUCUGGGUGUGUCCCGGCCUCCUGACUCGUGACUGCUGCGCGGGGGUCCAGAAUCAUGGAUCUUACAGGGGCUCAUCCUUUGUCGUGAGCCUUGUUCUCACGGCCUGCCUGAAGUCCGACGCCCAGAGGCUGGCGGAAGCUGCUGGGUCCACGGCUGCCGAAGGAGGAGCUGGAACGUGAACGCCGGCAGAACUUUGCCCAUGUCUGAGAUUUCUAGAACCUUCUUCCCCCUGCAGGCUUUUGUGCCUUCUGCCCCUUUUGCCUCCCGGCCCUUUGUUUAGUGACUUCCUGCCGGUCCUCGGGUGACCCUUGGACACACUGGGGUGCGCCCCCUGCCGGGGCUGGGACCCUUUUCUGCCUUCCCCAGCCUGUUCUCCGUACCCUAGACUGCGGAGUCUUGGGGCUCGUCACCUCUGUGUCCCCCAACACCAUGCACAGUGGCUCCCCCAGAGCAAGCACUCUAUAAUUUAUUCACUUAAUGAGCAUUUCUGGAUUUAGGGAGUAAUGUGGCUCAGCUGGUAAAGAAUCUGCCUGCAAUGCGGGAGAAGGGAAAGGCUACCCACUCCAGUAGUCUGGCCUGGAGAAUUCCAGGGACUGUAUAGUCCAUGAGGUUGCGAAGAGUCAGACACGACUGAGUGACUUUCACUUUCACACUUUGGCAGUAAAAUCCUUACCCUCCAAAGGGCCUGUGUGCUUGACUUUGGGGGCCUGUGACUUCCUGGGCAGCCAGGGCUGAAGAAGGGACUCUGGGGUAACUGGCACCCCUUGAGCCUCCUCAGCCCAUAAGCAGACACGGGUUCUCGUACCCCUGGGAUGACCCCAGAAGGCCCACAUGGCUUACAUCUUCUGCCCCACUCCGCUGGCUCCGCUGGGCUGGCGGGGCUCGCCCUUGGUCUGAGUUAGCAUUAGGGAAUAGUCUGGUGCUCUGGAGGGCUGGAAUCCCUCCUGAUGGGCAUCUUGGGGGCACAGCUGGGUAUCCCAUGAUGGCCACUGCUCACCUGGGCUUUGGGGAGGGCCCGCCUCUGCUU
This is a long non-coding RNA of Bos taurus (domestic cattle), 1369 nucleotides long. The record is from Ensembl. Lineage: Eukaryota; Metazoa; Chordata; Mammalia; Artiodactyla; Bovidae.